RNAcentral lists this transfer RNA (70 nucleotides) under Camelus bactrianus (Bactrian camel). It matches the Rfam family "tRNA". From Rfam's summary of the family: Transfer RNA (tRNA) molecules are approximately 80 nucleotides in length. Their secondary structure includes four short double-helical elements and three loops (D, anti-codon, and T loops). RNAcentral also lists the same sequence under 2 other names. Lineage: Eukaryota; Metazoa; Chordata; Mammalia; Artiodactyla; Camelidae. The record is from Rfam by way of RNAcentral.
GGAAAUAGUUUAGUGGUAGAGUAUAUACUUAGCAUGCACAAGGUCCUGGGUUCAAUCCCCAGUGUUUCCA